RNAcentral lists this ribosomal RNA (1525 nucleotides) under uncultured bacterium. RNAcentral's name for it is "bacterial SSU rRNA". It matches the Rfam family "Bacterial small subunit ribosomal RNA". The record is from RNAcentral.
GAGUUUGAUCCUGGCUCAGGACGAACGCUGGCGGCGUGCCUAACACAUGCAAGUCGAACGGAGCUACUAUGGAAGCCUCUUCGGAGACGGAAGUUUUAGCUUAGUGGCGAACGGGUGAGUAACGCGUGAGGAACCUGCCUUUCAGAGGGGGACAACAGUUGGAAACGACUGCUAAUACCGCAUAACGUGCUUAGGGGGCAUCCCCUGAGUACCAAAGGAGCAAUCCGCUGAAAGAUGGCCUCGCGUCUGAUUAGAUAGUUGGUGGGGUAACGGCCUACCAAGUCGACGAUCAGUAGCCGGACUGAGAGGUUGAACGGCCACAUUGGGACUGAGAUACGGCCCAGACUCCUACGGGAGGCAGCAGUGGGGAAUAUUGGGCAAUGGGGGAAACCCUGACCCAGCAACGCCGCGUGAAGGAAGAAGGCUUUCGGGUUGUAAACUUCUUUUACCAGGGACGAAGGACGUGACGGUACCUGGAGAAAAAGCCACGGCUAACUACGUGCCAGCAGCCGCGGUAAUACGUAGGUGGCAAGCGUUGUCCGGAUUUACUGGGUGUAAAGGGCGUGUAGGCGGAGCAGCAAGUCAGAAGUGAAAUCUCCGGGCUUAACCCGGAAACUGCUUUUGAAACUGUUGCCCUUGAGUAUCGGAGAGGCAGGCGGAAUUCCUAGUGUAGCGGUGAAAUGCGUAGAUAUUAGGAGGAACACCAGUGGCGAAGGCGGCCUGCUGGACGACAACUGACGCUGAGGCGCGAAAGCGUGGGGAGCAAACAGGAUUAGAUACCCUGGUAGUCCACGCUGUAAACGAUGAAUACUAGGUGUGGGGGGACUGACCCCCUCCGUGCCGCAGUUAACACAAUAAGUAUUCCACCUGGGGAGUACGAUCGCAAGAUUGAAACUCAAAGGAAUUGACGGGGGCCCGCACAAGCAGUGGAUUAUGUGGUUUAAUUCGACGCAACGCGAAGAACCUUACCGAGGUUUGACAUCCCACUAACGAAGCAGAGAUGCAUUAGGUGCCCUUCGGGGAAAGUGGAGACAGGUGGUGCAUGGUUGUCGUCAGCUCGUGUCGUGAGAUGUUGGGUUAAGUCCCGCAACGAGCGCAACCCCUAUUGUUAGUUGCUACGCAAGAGCACUCUAGCGAGACUGCCGUUGACAAAACGGAGGAAGGCGGGGACGACGUCAAAUCAUCAUGCCCCUUACGCCUCGGGCUACACACGUAAUACAAUGGCGGUCAACAAAGGGAAGCAAAGCGGCGACGUGGAGCAAACCCCCAAAAGCCGUCUCAGUUCGGAUCGCAGUCUGCAACUCGACUGCGUGAAGUUGGAAUUGCUAGUAAUCGUGGAUCAGCAAGCCACGGUGAAUACGUUCCCGGGCCUUGUACACACCGCCCGUCACACCAUGAGAGUCGGGAACACCCGAAGUCCGUAGUCUAACCGCAAGGAGGGGCGCGGCCGAAGGUGGGUCUGAUAAUUGGGGUGAAGUCGUAACAAGGUAGCCGUAUCGGAAGGUGCGGCUGGAUCACCUCCCUU